GGGCGCGUAGCUCAGUCGGUAGAGCAGCUGGCUUUUAACCAGCUGGUCGUAGGUUCGAGUCCUACCGCGCUCA
Molecule: transfer RNA, 73 nt
Filed under: Planctomycetaceae bacterium
Lineage: Bacteria; Pseudomonadati; Planctomycetota; Planctomycetia; Planctomycetales; Planctomycetaceae
Also listed under: 2 other names
Description: tRNA-Lys
Rfam family: tRNA
About the family: Transfer RNA (tRNA) molecules are approximately 80 nucleotides in length. Their secondary structure includes four short double-helical elements and three loops (D, anti-codon, and T loops).
Source: RNAcentral